UUAAAAAGCUCGUAGUUGGAUCAAGAGUCGGACUGUGCACGGUGGCCCUGUUUGCCAUCUUGGGUCCUGCUCAAGUUGGCGGCAGCGGAUUCACCCCGUGCAUCAAACAGUCCGCUCUAGCAGGCCGGAACGGUUCCCUGUGAGUAGGCCCCUUCAUUGGGGUCGAAAGCGCCAACGCAUCAACCAUAUGCAUACGGGACGCCGGCCAAAGUUACUGUGAACAAACCAGCGUGUCCAAAGCAGGCCUUCGCCUGAAUGUUCGAGCAUGGAAUAACAAGGGAUCGAUUCUCUCGGUUCUUUUUGUUGGUUUUUAACCCGAGAAGGAGUAAUUCAGUCCACGGUGUCUGAGUUGGGUUCCCCUAGGCUUCGGCUUAGGCCCCAAUUAGGCCGUGUGCUUACGGGAUCAAUAGGGACUGACGGGGUCGUACGUACUUCCUCGUCAGAGGUGAAAUUCUUAGACCGCGGGAAGACGAACUUCUGCGAAAGCAUUCGGCAAGAAUGUCUUCAUUAAUCAAGAACGAGAGUGUGGGGAUCGAAGAUGAUCAGAUACCGUCGUAGUCCACUACUGUAAACAAUGCCGU
RNAcentral lists this ribosomal RNA (581 nucleotides) under uncultured marine eukaryote. RNAcentral's name for it is "SSU rRNA". It matches the Rfam family "Eukaryotic small subunit ribosomal RNA", at positions 619 to 1045 of the family's 1831-position model. The record is from RNAcentral.